CCGAGCAUCCGGGCUCGGGAAGGCGGCCGAAACGGGCCAAGAAGGGGCUGCCAUACCCAUUUUCUGCAGCUGCUGUCCAAGGCGGUUUGAGGCUGAGAGAGGGCAGAUCCGGCGCCGGCUUGGGUCGAAAACGGGCGGAGGAGCUGCGGCGGUGCCGCACGGCCAACGGCGGGGCCUCACGGUGGCCGGAGGUGGCUGAAUCGCGGCCUGAGCUGGCCGAACAGCCCCC
RNAcentral lists this long non-coding RNA (229 nucleotides) under Eucalyptus grandis. RNAcentral's name for it is "long non-coding RNA (EGRA_LNC007689)". Lineage: Eukaryota; Viridiplantae; Streptophyta; Magnoliopsida; Myrtales; Myrtaceae. The record is from RNAcentral.